This is a long non-coding RNA of Ictalurus punctatus (channel catfish), 4074 nucleotides long. The record is from Ensembl. NCBI's taxonomy places the organism in Eukaryota, Metazoa, Chordata, Actinopteri, Siluriformes, Ictaluridae.
UUCCCUCAUACCUUCCGCUCGCUCUCUGUUACUCUCUCGCAUCCGUUCAGAAUGCUGCAGUAGGAUGGAGUCUUGUGUCUGAAUCUAAAAAAAAAAAAUCGAAAGACUUUGACAUGCCAAAGCUACAGAUUCAGCUUGCUGCUCACUGAGAAUAACUGGGACCCUCUCCACACUUCAGGCUUUUAACCAACAUAAUAUACUUUAAACAUAGAAUAAGCAAUAUACAAUUAGAAUUUCAUUUGGAAAAAAAUAAAGGAAAACUGUCCAGCUGUGAAAAAGUGGAAUUGACCUUGGGUUGACCUGGACAUGACAUGGAGAGUGUGUGUAUGCAGGAAGUACUGCAUAUAUAUGAGAGCAUGUGUAUGUGUGUCUUUAUGAGCCGUGUUUCUACUUACUGAUGACCAAAAUAGAGCAGGAGGCUAAUGUGCACAGAUCUAUAACAUGGUCCAUGACUGCAAUGUACCUUACAGUAGUCUAUAUUACACACACACACACUCCCACUCCUUAUUCCCUAUAAACUGCAAUGUACAAUAUGGGGCACAAUCACACACACAUUCACACACUAUGACAAUUUGGAAAUGCCAGUCAGCCUACAACACAUGUCUUUGGACUGGGGGAGGAUACCGGAGUGCCCAGAGGAAACCCCUGAAGCGCGGGGAGAAUAUAAACGCCACCCACGCAGGGCGGAGGUGCGAUUUGAACCCCCAAUCCCGGAGGUGCAUUGCAGUGCAUUGUGGGGUUUCAGCUGGACAAAUAAAAUAUCAUAUACGUAGUAGUAAGCCUCUUUAACUAGUGCACUAUAUAGUUAAGUGGGAAUUUUUUUCAGACAUGCUGAUAGAAUUGUUAUCUCCACUCACAGAAAAUCAGACAGAUAGAGAGAGAGAGAGAGAGAGAGAGAGAGAGAGAGAGAGAGACAGUCAGCAUAGAAUAAUACAAAUCAAGGGGUAGUUAUUUUCCUCUUUACUGGGGUACAGGAUGAAAUCAGUCCUCCGGAAUCGACAGCACUUUCUGCUCCAGUGUGCGUUCGCAUGGAUCUGGCUGUGUGCCGCUGCUCUGUAGGAAUUUCGUGUGUGUCUCUAAGACAGCUGUAUGCUUGUUACGUAAGAGGUGACACACACAAUCACACAGGGGCCCUGACCUAUUUAUGGGCCCCAACCCUGUAGCAAUGCUGCUCACACACGCACACGCACACACAAAUGCAUAUGUCCACCAGCUUGGUAUUGACUAUGGCUAUACAAUAAAUGAUAGCAGUAAUUGCAGUGUUCAUUAGCCUUUUUUUUGUUUUUGAAAGGGAUAUGUGAUGAUGUGUAUCACCUCUGCUUGAUUAGGAGAUUUGUAUGAGAGCGUUUGAUAAGGGUCAGAUGUGCGUUUGUGUUUUACUACACAACAAUUUGUGUAGAAUCACUGGACCGACACAUAUAUAGUACCAAUCUUAAGUUUGGACACACCUGACUGAAUGUAUGUUUUUAAGUUUAUUCACAGACAUCAGCUAAUUCGAUCUAUUAGAGAUGCUACUGUGGUAUUUUAUUUUAUUUUAUUUUAUUUACACAUCCUUUAAAGGGUUGUGGGAUAGCUUCCACAACUUGGAGACCUUUCAGAUUUUGGGGUUUCCAUUGGAAAAUGUUUUUUGAUCAUCAUCAUUUAAUUACUUCAGGCAGUUGUUAAUUGGGCUAAUUAAAAGGGAAAAGUCACUAAAAUAUUAACCAGUUUGUACACAAUUUUUCGCUGAGUUUUUUUUUUGUCAUUGUUGCGGCCAAAAACGCUUGAUUUUGCUGUGGCUUUUUGUGCUUUUUCUUUUUUUUGCAGAAAAGUUCUUGAAUUGGUGAAAUUACAAUUGCAUGAAAUUGUUUUGCACGGUCUUUGACAAUGAUGAUUAUUGGUAAAUGAGAUCUUUCAGCUGUACUCAUGUUCGACGCACGUGAAUCGAAGAGGUCUUCGGCUGAAUGCACGUUUGGAUGAUGUUACAUCCUGAGUCGUGGCCCAAAUCUGCGGAAAAUUGAAAAAUUGCAAGCUCUUCUUUAUAUUGCGGCAUUUUCUCGAUUUUGCGUUAUUUUCUGCGAUCGCAAACUCGAGAAAUCCUGGAGGGACUGAUUAAUACAAUAAUUGAUAUAAUAAAAGCUGCAGCUUUCAGACACGGUUUAAAGCCUUACUUCAUAUUCAUGUCACAAUAUAAUGAUUGUAGAUUGCAAACAAAUUCAUGGUCGAGUAGUGUAACCAAAUCAUAUAUGUGACACAAACAUCAGGGUUCACUGGAAAAUAAAACUGCUAGAAACCCACUUGUCCAAUGUUAGCUAAUGUUAAUAGUCAUAUGGAUACAAGGGUAUUUAUCACAGGGAAAAUAAUAUUGUCCAAAUAGGGCUUUUCAUCAUUUUACAGCCAUUUUAAUCCGGAGGUUUUAUGUUUCUGAGGUAAAUAUUAAUGAGAAGUUUCCUAUGUUUGAAUUUACUUGAAUGAAUCUACAAAUCUAACAAUUCUUUGAAAAUAUUUGGACUGUUUAAUCUGCCCCCAAAUGUAGGUGGUGUUUUUUUUGUUUGUUUGUUUGUUUGUUUUUUCAGUUGCAAGUGCAUAGGUACUUCAUGAGGACUAUUGGAAAAGCAUUGCAGGUAGCUCUCUCAUGAAGCUGGGUUGGCAAAAUACCACGAGUGUGUAAAUCUCUCUUUAAAGCUACUUGGAAGUCCAUAAAAUAUGAAUGAUAUUUGGCUUCAUUAACACAUUUUUGGCACUGCAUAAUUCCAAACAUCCGUACAGGAUUUCUCAGAGGGUUAUUUUUGUUGAUUGUUGCGGCCAAAAAUGUUUGAUCUUGCAGAUUUUUCAAACUACUUGAAUUGGUGAAAUCGCAAUUGCACGGAAUUGUUUCGCACGCUCUUUCGAUGUGAUGUUUGUUGGUAAAUGAGACAUUUUAGCUGUACUCGUGUUCGACGCAUGUGAAUCGAAGAGUUCGGCUUUGGCUGAACGUGCGUCGUGAUGAUGUCACGUGACGUGUCUCAGCCCGAAUCUGUGGAAAAUCUGUGGUAAUUUAGAAAAAUUUCAAACUCCUACGAACACUGCGGAGUUUGCUUCAUUUUGUGUUCAUUUCUGUGAACGCAAAAUCGCGAAAUCCUGGAGGGGACAUGGUUAUGACUAUUAUCGAUGUGUGAAAUAGUGCUAGUAAUGAAAAAAGCUUGGAGUAUGUGUGUUUAAACUUAACUGUAGUACUGUUUCUCUCUAAAUAAUAUCCUUAAGAUAGUACAGUCACGCACCAGCCUCUGAUAAGGCCUUGCACAUUUUAGUCAUCUUAAAUGCACCUGUUGGACACACAAAUACAAAACGAUAGCUCUCAUUCUGAAUUAGCACAAAAGUAGACCCAUGUGCACUGUACUCUGUCUCUCACACAAAAUCCUUUCUUUCUGUAUGAGCGAGUAAAGAGAGGAUGCCUGUGACCCAAAUGCCAGGUUUCUGACAAGCAGGACACUCGUCAACUGAUCAAUCUUCAAUGCUUCUUUUAUACAGGGAGCUCUGUGUAUCUAAAGAAAACCUAGUAACUUAUAUUAAGUACCAUAUAUUUUACUAUGAUAGAAGUACUGUAUAAUAUUUAUGGAUUAAUUGAGGGGGUUCAUUUUGAAUUUAAUUUGAAUUACUCUGAUAUGGAAGCUCAACCAUGGCAGCACUAAACAACUGUAAGGUGAGGAAAAGCUGAAUGUUCUCUCCAGGCUGCGCCAUCCGAGGGAACGGGCAAAUGAACAAGUUUGAAAUGUGUCAUCUCAGCAAAUUUGAGUGUGUUUGUGACUGCGUGUGGUGAUCACUUGUCCACACAUCCAGCACAGCAAAGUGCCAACUUUGUUCUCAUUCCCUAUAAUAAAACUCAUCAGAGUAAAGUGUCCUGUGUCUUGUGUUUCUGUUGCGUAUAAGGCAAACGUUUCUCACCAGCACUCUCCUGUGGCGUGGACGAUGAGAGAAGAUGUGUCUGUGACCCAAAUACCAGGAUUCUGACAACCAAGACAAGUCAGACUCUGCUGACACCUUUUCCUGAUUUGGACGUCUUCGGCAAAAGAAUUCUUCACCUCAAUCUCAUCUCUUUCCAAACUUAACCACCCC